Penaeus monodon (black tiger shrimp) is the source of this 464-nucleotide long non-coding RNA. RefSeq lists it as uncharacterized. Lineage: Eukaryota; Metazoa; Arthropoda; Malacostraca; Decapoda; Penaeidae. The record is from RefSeq and is a predicted model, not a curated record. The transcript has 2 exons.
GGAGGCGGGGGGUGAGGGGGGGACGACAGCCCAGACGCUCCUGACAUCUGUCGGCUGUGCUUGCAAGCUCGCGCGGGAGGUACCUUCCGAAGGGGAGCCUGCAUGCAAAGUUACAAUGAAAUGAUCUAAAAUAUAAGGCAAAAGAGUGUUUUAUAUGAUAUAAUAAAGUGGUGAGUGUGUCCCUACCGUGUGGUGUUGGCAGUGCAGAGCCUUGUGACAGUGCUUGCAGUGCAACUAACGGAGAAUUUACCGGGAUUAUUGAGGAAUAUAUAGACUUCGUCAUCCUUGCACAGGCGAUGAUGUUUAAGAAGGCCAGGACACCGUCAAAAUUCUAUAAUCACCAGAGAGUAACAGAUAAAAGAUAGUGAUAAGAGAUAUUGAAAAUAUAUCAAUGAAUGAUUAGUCACAUCUGAGCAUUGCUAUGCAUAUGUAUGUAAUAAUGAAUAAACAAAUACACACUGAAA